RNAcentral lists this transfer RNA (84 nucleotides) under Deltaproteobacteria bacterium. Its description in RNAcentral is "tRNA-Leu". It matches the Rfam family "tRNA". Rfam says of the family: Transfer RNA (tRNA) molecules are approximately 80 nucleotides in length. Their secondary structure includes four short double-helical elements and three loops (D, anti-codon, and T loops). The record is from RNAcentral. Lineage: Bacteria; Pseudomonadati; Myxococcota; Myxococcia.
GCCCAGGUGGUGGAAUUGGUAGACACGCCAGAUUAAGGGUCUGGUGGGCGUAAGCCCAUGAAGGUUCAAGUCCUUUCCUGGGCA